AGCUCCCUCUGCUCCCUCUAUAUUAGUAACUGGUUAUUCUUUGCAGACGAAGCAUCUCCAAAUCAGUAUUUUAUGAUUCCUUGUCAUUGUAUAUUUGUAUAGUUUAAGCUAUGUCAAAUCAAUAACAUUUAAUCCUCCAAUAAACCUCACUAUAACUUAGUUCCAAAUGAGCAUUCGGCCUAUGUGACAUUUUAUUACUUUAAAACUGUGACACAAGGGUGAAUGUAGCCGGUCUGACCAGCGUGAAGAUGUGACUAAACCACAUCAGUUUGAGAGGCAGAAAACCAAUGGGAACUGGGCAGGGAGCGUAAAUGUGUCUCUCACAGAGAAAACUAGGUCCAAAUAUUUAGCUUCCAUCACCUUUUAUGCCUGUAGUAAUUUAUUGUGCUUAGAUUUAUUGAGGUUAUCAACUUCAAGGAUUUUUUUUUUUCUUUUUAUUUUUUA
RNAcentral lists this unclassified non-coding RNA (444 nucleotides) under Hevea brasiliensis (rubber tree). The record is from RNAcentral. Lineage: Eukaryota; Viridiplantae; Streptophyta; Magnoliopsida; Malpighiales; Euphorbiaceae.